ACUACGGGUGGCAGCAGUGGGGAAUAUUGGACAAUGGGCGAAAGCCUGAUCCAGCCAUGCCGCGUGUGUGAAGAAGGCCUUCGGGUUGUAAAGCACUUUCAGUGGGGAAGAAAGCCUUGGGGCUAAUACCCUCGAGGAAGGACAUCACCCACAGAAGAAGCACCGGCUAACUCCGUGCCAGCAGCCGCGGUAAUACGGAGGGUGCGAGCGUUAAUCGGAAUUACUGGGCGUAAAGCGCGCGUAGGCGGUCUGAUAAGCCGGUUGUGAAAGCCCCGGGCUCAACCUGGGAACGGCAUCCGGAACUGUCAGGCUAGAGUGCAGGAGAGGAAGGUAGAAUUCCCGGUGUAGCGGUGAAAUGCGUAGAGAUCGGGAGGAAUACCAGUGGCGAAGGCGGCCUUCUGGACUGACACUGACGCUGAGGUGCGAAAGCGUGGGUAGCAAACAGGAUUAGAUACCCCAGUAUC
Molecule: ribosomal RNA, 464 nt
Filed under: Vreelandella stevensii
Lineage: Bacteria; Pseudomonadati; Pseudomonadota; Gammaproteobacteria; Oceanospirillales; Halomonadaceae
Description: partial 16S ribosomal RNA
Rfam family: Bacterial small subunit ribosomal RNA
Source: RNAcentral